GCUAUAUGGAUCCAUUAGAAAUAAAAGUUUACACAUGAUACUAUAAUCAUUCACAAACCCUGAGGCACUAUCAAUUAAAUUUAAACAAGAUUACUUGAAAUAUACUUUUUAGAGUACACAAGCCAUUUUCUAAUUCAGAUCACUGUGUGUUUAUCAUAAAAUGUACAUGUUCCUCGGGCACACUUGAAAUGGAAAAUUAACUGUUUUAUAUAUGUGAACCAUCAACAAGUUCUGUAAGUCAGUCCAGUUUUAUUUCAACAAAACAGUGAAAUGUAUGUUCCAAGAAUGUAAAGCAAAACAGCUCGAUUCCUGAUUUGACAGCAGCAAAAUGAUAAAAAAAUUCCAAUCCAAAAAGAUCACAUGUACAUAUGAUAUUAAAAAAAAAAAUGAAACUACAUGCACAUCAAUUGUUUACAUGUACAAAUUUUAGCAAUAUUACCAGAAAAAUUCAGGCAGCUUUACAUGAUAAAUGCAACUAUAAGAAAAAAAAUAUUACCAAUCACUCAUUCAGUCAUAACUAUAACACAACCAACCAUAAAACUGAAAUAAGAUUAGCAUUGCCUAUAACCUGAUUUAUAAUCAU
RNAcentral lists this unclassified non-coding RNA (583 nucleotides) under Hevea brasiliensis (rubber tree). The record is from RNAcentral. Lineage: Eukaryota; Viridiplantae; Streptophyta; Magnoliopsida; Malpighiales; Euphorbiaceae.